UUUCGCAAUGCCCGAAAGGGUGACGAAGCGACGCCGCGUGUGGGAAGAAGGCCUUCGGGUUGUAAACCACUGUCGGGAGUUAGGAAAUGCAGGUGCGUUAAUAGCGCACUUGCUUGACUAAGGCUCCAGAGGAAGCCACGGCUAACUCUGUGCCAGCAGCCGCGGUAAUACAGAGGCGGCAAGCGUUGUUCGGAAUUAUUGGGCGUAAAGAGCACGUAGGCGGCCUUGCAAGUCAGUUGUGAAAGCCUUCCGCUUAACGGAAGAACGGCAUCUGAUACUACAGGGCCUGAGUACGGGAGGGGAGAGUGGAACUUCUGGUGGAGCGGUGAAAUGCGUAGAUAUCAGAAGGAACGCCGGCGGCGAAAGCGACUCUCUGGUCCGAAACUGACGCUGAGUGUGCGAAAGCUAGGGGAGCAAACGGGAUUAGAUACCCCGGUAGUCCUAGCCGUAAACGAUGGGCACUAAGUAGAGGGGUUUU
Molecule: ribosomal RNA, 478 nt
Filed under: uncultured Planctomycetales bacterium
Lineage: Bacteria; Pseudomonadati; Planctomycetota; Planctomycetia; Planctomycetales
Also listed under: 1 other name
Description: bacterial SSU rRNA
Rfam family: Bacterial small subunit ribosomal RNA
Source: RNAcentral